This 91-nucleotide transfer RNA is filed under the name bacterium. RNAcentral describes it as "tRNA-Ser". It matches the Rfam family "tRNA". Rfam says of the family: Transfer RNA (tRNA) molecules are approximately 80 nucleotides in length. Their secondary structure includes four short double-helical elements and three loops (D, anti-codon, and T loops). The record is from RNAcentral. RNAcentral also lists the same sequence under 2 other names.
GGAAAGGUGCAGGAGCGGUUGAACUGGCAGCACUGGAAAUGCUGUGAACCUCAAAAGGGUUCCGUGGGUUCGAAUCCCACCCUUUCCGCCA